CGGGAAUAUUGGGCAAUGGGCGAGAGCCUGACCCAGCCAUGCCGCGUGCAGGAAGAAGGCUUUCUGAGUCGUAAACUGCUUUUGACAGGGAAGAAUAAGCUGGACGUGUCCAGUGAUGACGGUACCUGCAGAAUAAGCACCGGCUAACUCCGUGCCAGCAGCCGCGGUAAUACGGAGGGUGCGAGCGUUGUCCGGAUUUAUUGGGUUUAAAGGGUGCGUAGGCGGCCGUUUAAGUCUGGGGUGAAAGCCCGCUGCUCAACAGCGGAACUGCCCUGGAUACUGGAUGGCUUGAGUACAGACGAGGUUGGCGGAAUGGACAGAGUAGCGGUGAAAUGCAUAGAUACUGUCCAGAACCCCGAUUGCGAAGGCAGCUGACUAGGCUGUUACUGACGCUGAGGCACGAAAGCGUGGGGAGCGAAC
This 420-nucleotide ribosomal RNA is filed under the name uncultured bacterium. Its description in RNAcentral is "bacterial SSU rRNA". It matches the Rfam family "Bacterial small subunit ribosomal RNA", at positions 356 to 773 of the family's 1533-position model. The record is from RNAcentral.